RNAcentral lists this ribosomal RNA (571 nucleotides) under uncultured bacterium. Its description in RNAcentral is "bacterial SSU rRNA". It matches the Rfam family "Bacterial small subunit ribosomal RNA", at positions 337 to 918 of the family's 1533-position model. The record is from RNAcentral.
UCCUACGGGAGGCAGCAGUGGGGAAUAUUGCACAAUGGGCGAAAGCCUGAUGCAGCGACGCCGCGUGAGGGAUGACGGCCUUCGGGUUGUAAACCUCUUUCAGUAGGGAAGAAGCGAAAGUGACGGUACCUGCAGAAGAAGCACCGGCUAACUACGUGCCAGCAGCCGCGGUAAUACGUAGGGUGCGAGCGUUAUCCGGAAUUAUUGGGCGUAAAGAGCUCGUAGGCGGUUUGUCGCGUCUGUCGUGAAAGUCCGGGGCUUAACCCCGGAUCUGCGGUGGGUACGGGCAGACUAGAGUGCAGUAGGGGAGACUGGAAUUCCUGGUGUAGCGGUGGAAUGCGCAGAUAUCAGGAGGAACACCGAUGGCGAAGGCAGGUCUCUGGGCUGUAACUGACGCUGAGGAGCGAAAGCAUGGGGAGCGAACAGGAUUAGAUACCCUGGUAGUCCAUGCCGUAAACGUUGGGCACUAGGUGUGGGGACCAUUCCACGGUUUCCGCGCCGCAGCUAACGCAUUAAGUGCCCCGCCUGGGGAGUACGGCCGCAAGGCUAAAACUCAAAUGAAUUGACGGAA